AACUCCCAAACCCUUUGUGAACCUUACCAUAUUGUUGCUUCGGCGGGACCGCCCCGGCGCCUUCGGGCCCGGAACCAGGCGCCCGCCGGAGGCCCCAAACUCUUAUGUCUUUAGUGGUUUUCUCCUCUGAGUGACACAUAAACAAAUAAAUAA
This 153-nucleotide unclassified non-coding RNA is filed under the name Albifimbria verrucaria. Its description in RNAcentral is "partial interal transcribed spacer 1". The record is from RNAcentral. Lineage: Eukaryota; Fungi; Ascomycota; Sordariomycetes; Hypocreales; Stachybotryaceae.